CGUGGGCCGGAUUAAAGGGAUCGGUAUAGCGGAAGACAGAGGCUGCAUCAACACCACAGCACCUGCGAGGCCAGGUACAUGACAAGGACAACACGACAGAAUGACAAAAAAGAAAAACCAAGAAUGAUGAGGGGGAGCAAGAUGGACAGAAGAGAGAUGAGGAAGAGGAAAUAAGCAAUGCUUCUUAUUUUGUUAGUGACAUCUCUACAGAGAGAGUGAAAAUAAUAGAAGCUCGUCUUCUAGAUCCUGCCAGGAGAGUGAAGUCCAAAGCACUGAAAAAGAAGACUCUAAAAUGAUGACACAUGUCCAUUGUCCAUGUACCUCUGUCAGCCACCAGCGUCACCUCACUCAAACUGAAGACUCUGAUAAUGAACACACAUGUCCCCGUACCUCUGUCUGCCACAAGCGUCACCUCGCUCAAACUGACUCUGAUAAUGAAGACACAUGUCCCCGUACCUCAAGUUCUGUCAUCACUGGCCAGAAUCAGGAGAUCAUUCAAAUGAUGACAGGACAGAAGGCUGCAGUGAGGCCUAGGACAGCUGAUGAGCAGGCUGCUGCAGUGAAGGCAACCCUGGACAACCCUUUGUUCUGAAAAAAUCUCCAGGAAAAGUGGGCAGCCAGGCUUACCUUCAAAACAAUCCAUUUAUUCACUCCAGACCCUGGAUUAACGUAAACGACUUUUGUUCAUAAGACAGUCCAGUCCAAGAAAAGAAGAAUAAUUUGAGCACAUCACUGUUCUGUUUAAGUUUGCUGCAUGGGAACACAUCUCUUAGUUUUUCUGCUGUGUUCCUUUUAUUUAAAACCUUUUGAUUCUCUUAUUGAGCAUUGAGUCACUACUCAACAUUUCUGUAAAAUUCAGAAAAUGGUGAUAAAAUAUGGUCAAAAGUUAAGCUGUGUUAGAAUAAAUUCUUCUUGAUGUUGUAGGAUAACUGAUAGAAAUGUACACUAUAAUUAAAACUAUUUACA
Molecule: long non-coding RNA, 966 nt
Filed under: Danio rerio (zebrafish)
Lineage: Eukaryota; Metazoa; Chordata; Actinopteri; Cypriniformes; Danionidae
Description: si:ch211-128m15.5 (ENSDARG00000103960.2)
Source: RNAcentral